This 497-nucleotide ribosomal RNA is filed under the name uncultured bacterium. RNAcentral's name for it is "partial 16S ribosomal RNA". It matches the Rfam family "Bacterial small subunit ribosomal RNA", at positions 28 to 507 of the family's 1533-position model. The record is from RNAcentral.
GACGAACGCUGGCGGCGUGCCUAAUACAUGCAAGUUGAGCGCUGAAGGUUGGUACUUGUACCCACUGGAUGAGCAGCGAACGGGUGAGUAACGCGUGGGGAAUCUGCCUUUGAGCGGGGGACAACAUUUGGAAACGAAUGCUAAUACCGCAUAAAAACUUUAAACACAAGUUUUAAGUUUGAAAGAUGCCAUUGCCUCACUCAAAGAUGAUCCCGCGUUGUAUUAGCUAGUUGGUGAGGUAAAGGCUCACCAAGGCGAUGAUACAUAGCCGACCUGAGAGGGUGAUCGGCCACAUUGGGACUGAGACACGGCCCAAACUCCUACGGGAGGCAGCAGUAGGGAAUCUUCGGCAAUGGACGAAAGUCUGACCGAGCAACGCCGCGUGAGUGAAGAAGGGUUUCGGAUCGUAAAACUCGGUUGGUAGAGAAGAACGUUGGUGAGAGUGGAAAGCUCAUCAAGUGACGGUAACUACCCAGAAAGGGACGGCUAACUACGUG